AACGAACGCUGGCGGCAGGCCUAACACAUGCAAGUCGAGCGAGAUCUUCGGGUCUAGCGGCGGACGGGUGAGUAACGCGUGGGAAUAUGCCCUUCUCUGCGGAAUAGCCUCGGGAAACUGAGCGUAAUACCGCAUACGCCCUUUGGGGGGAAGAUUUAUCGGAGAAGGAUUAGCCCGCGUUGGAUUAGGUAGUUGGUGGGGUAACGGCCUACCAAGCCGACGAUCCAUAGCUGGUUUGAGAGGAUGAUCAGCCACACUGGGACUGAGACACGGCCCAGACUCCUACGGGAGGCAGGAGUGGGGAAUCUUAGACAAUGGGGGCAACCCUGAUCUAGCCAUGCCGCGUGAGUGAUGAAGGCCUUAGGGUUGUAAAGCUCUUUCAGCUGGGAAGAUAAUGACGGUACCAGCAGAAGAAGCCCCGGCUAACUCCGUG
RNAcentral lists this ribosomal RNA (433 nucleotides) under uncultured bacterium. RNAcentral describes it as "partial 16S ribosomal RNA". It matches the Rfam family "Bacterial small subunit ribosomal RNA", at positions 29 to 507 of the family's 1533-position model. The record is from RNAcentral.